This 810-nucleotide long non-coding RNA is filed under the name Equus caballus (horse). RNAcentral describes it as "lncRNA (ENSECAG00000046347.1)". The record is from RNAcentral. Lineage: Eukaryota; Metazoa; Chordata; Mammalia; Perissodactyla; Equidae.
AGUGACUGGAUUAAGAAAAGGCAUGUGACUCAGUUCUAUGAAAUAGGAGAGAGAAGUCUGCUGAAGGUGCUCCCCUCUUAGAAGAGACACAAGGAAACAACAAUCCUUUCUUUUCCUCUGGGUCUUGGUGUGUGAGGAUGCCACGACUGGAGGGAGCCAGGCGAUAUACGGACAACGGCAGCAAAGAGUGACGGCAGCCCCCAGAAGACAGCUGGAUUCUCAUAUCUGCAUUCAGUCUACUGCAAUAUGAUGUUUUGGGUGGAAUUAUCGGAAGAAAAUCUGGCCUCACACGGACACGUAGUUGGAAGAGGGAGGGUCCCACAGACCCUCUGAAAUGGUCCCCAGGAUCCCAGGGCUCCUCUGACCACACACUGAGGACCGCUGUGCCGGAGCAGGGCACAUCUUAACAAAGAGCCCCCUGGUACAUAGUUGUAUAUUCUCAGUUGUGGAUCCUUCUAGUUGUGGCAUGUGGGACGCCGCCUCAGCGUGGUUUGAUGAGCAGUGCCGUGUCCACGUCCAGGAUUCGAACCAACGAAACACUGGGCCGCCUGCAGCGGAGCGCGUGAACUUAACCACUCGGCCAUGGGGCCAGCCCCAUUUAUACAUAAUUUUAUGUUUUGCUUUUUCUUCAUUGACUACGGUAUUGGACCAUCUUAUUAAAACCUUCCUGAACAUUCUAUCAUACAAAAGUACACGUUUUAUCUAAACUUUCCCCCUUUGAUGUAUCUGGACUCUACCUGAAUAUAACUCUGCAGAGCUUGUCUACUUCACUCUCCGAACAAGCAUCAACACCUAACCCAGCUGGACACC